UACGUAGGGUGCGAGCGUUGUUCGGAAUUACUGGGCGUAAAGGGCGCGUAGGCGGCACGGCAAGUCAGGAGUGAAAGCCCUGGGCUCAACCCGGGAACUGCUUUUGAAACUGCCGAGCUAGAGUGCGGAAGGGGCAACUGGAAUUCCCAGUGUAGCGGCGAAAUGCGUAGAUAUUGGGAAGAACACCUGAGGCGAAGGCGGGUUGCUGGGCCGACACUGACGCUGAGGCGCGAAAGCCAGGGGAGCGAACGGG
This 253-nucleotide ribosomal RNA is filed under the name uncultured bacterium. RNAcentral's name for it is "partial 16S ribosomal RNA". It matches the Rfam family "Bacterial small subunit ribosomal RNA", at positions 524 to 776 of the family's 1533-position model. The record is from RNAcentral.